GAAGACACACAAGGAAGUCACCUUGAAGCCUACUCUUUAGAAGUGUGAGUCAUUAGAAGCUUUCAGAGUAAUUUGAAGCUUUCAGUCUACAAGGCGUGUAGUGUUAUGGUGCUCGAAGUGGUUUAUCUCGUAGCUCAUUCUGCCUGCAUUACCUAUGACUAGAUCUUUAACUAUUAGCAAUAUAUUGGAUGGAAUGUAAUCUGGUGUGUACCAUGACGGUCCGACUUGUUGUGUUGGAUGACUGAAGAAAUCCUAAGAUGGCCCCUGAUCUUCAUUAGAGGAUAGCCAUGCUACCAUGGAUUGAGGAUCCACUAACGAUGGAGUAGCACUAAAGGAUGUGUGCUCGGUAUGUGGAGCGUCUAUGUAGCUCUCAUCGGUAGUAUGCAUAUGUCUUCGCAUCUCUUCACUCGGCUUUUAAUUAUGUUAUUAGUCCUUUGGAUGUCUAUAUCAUCGUCUAUACCAAAAAAGGGCUGAAGAGUGCUCUCCGUUUUAAGAAAAUAAGUGUGUUCGAAGUUGUGAACGAA
Molecule: long non-coding RNA, 524 nt
Organism: Dendrobium catenatum
Lineage: Eukaryota; Viridiplantae; Streptophyta; Magnoliopsida; Asparagales; Orchidaceae
Exons: 2
Source: RefSeq, a predicted model, not a curated record